This 97-nucleotide non-coding RNA is filed under the name Clostridium cochlearium. RNAcentral describes it as "Glycine riboswitch". It matches the Rfam family "Glycine riboswitch aptamer". From Rfam's summary of the family: This family represents the bacterial glycine riboswitch. Glycine riboswitches usually consist of two metabolite-binding aptamers domains with similar structures in tandem. The aptamers cooperatively bind glycine to regulate the expression of downstream genes. Lineage: Bacteria; Bacillati; Bacillota; Clostridia; Eubacteriales; Clostridiaceae. The record is from RNAcentral.
ACGAAACUCUGGAGAGACUCUUUUUUUAUAAAAGAGCACCGAAGGAGCAAGUUGGAAUAUUCCAAUGAAACUCUCAGGUAAAAGGACAGAGCGUAGA